CGAGCGGAUGACGGGAGCUUGCUUCUUGAUUCAGCGGCGGACGGGUGAGUAAUGCCUAGGAAUCUGCCUGGUAGUGGGGGACAACGUUUCGAAAGGAACGCUAAUACCGCAUACGUCCUACGGGAGAAAGCAGGGGACCUUCGGGCCUUGCGCUAUCAGAUGAGCCUAGGUCGGAUUAGCUAGUAGGUGAGGUAAUGGCUCACCUAGGCGACGAUCCGUAACUGGUCUGAGAGGAUGAUCAGUCACACUGGAACUGAGACACGGUCCAGACUCCUACGGGAGGCAGCAGUGGGGAAUAUUGGACAAUGGGCGAAAGCCUGAUCCAGCCAUGCCGCGUGUGUGAAGAAGGUCUUCGGAUUGUAAAGCACUUUAAGUUGGGAGGAAGGGCAGUAAGCUAAUACCUUGCUGUUUCGACGUUACCGACAGAAUAAGCACCGGCUAACUCUGUGCCAGCAGCCGCGGUAAUACAGAGGGUGCAAGCGUUAAUCGGAAUUACUGGGCGUAAAGCGCGCGUAGGUGGUUCGUUAAGUUGGAUGUGAAAGCCCCGGGCUCAACCUGGGAACUGCAUCCAAAAC
This 575-nucleotide ribosomal RNA is filed under the name Pseudomonas sp. VK58. RNAcentral describes it as "bacterial SSU rRNA". It matches the Rfam family "Bacterial small subunit ribosomal RNA", at positions 63 to 633 of the family's 1533-position model. Lineage: Bacteria; Pseudomonadati; Pseudomonadota; Gammaproteobacteria; Pseudomonadales; Pseudomonadaceae. The record is from RNAcentral.